GCGCCACCCCCGACCCCGACCCCGUCCCCCAUCACCUCUUUCUCAGCACUGUGUGAUCUUGCCUUUCAGCCUCCUUGUGUCCACAUGGAACUGACAGACAUAGAAGUGUGUCUAGGCAACUUACCUUGAUGGACUUCGUUUCCUCUAGAUCAUUCAGGAAAUACUGAACUCAGAGUGCCAUAAAUUGUGGAAAUAUAAGGGCAAGCGUCUCUGUGAGAACCUGGUGUCAUGCUUCUGAUGAGUAUAAGAAGUAUGAACAAGCAAGAAUGGCCGAGGAAAUGCCGCAGGAGCCAUGGCCAAAGACCUGCCAGACACGCUUGUGUGUAAAGCCGAGCCUGUGAUACUGGCGAAGGUUAGACAGACAGCAGCUUAGGAGAUCAAGACGCGGCUAUACAUCGAAUGAAAAGUAUGUGGCUGGUGCUUCAGGAGCCCCUCCACCUGCAGCCAGGAUCGAGAACCCCACUUCGGAGAAGAUCACCGCUGGAGCUGAGCACAACCGUGUCCUGGCAGAUGCAGACUCCGCCAGCACCCGGAUGGAGGGACAGCCCUGACCCCUGCUCACCCGACUCGCGGGGGCCACUCAGGGCUCCCAGAACGAGGAUACCCAGCACGUCCUGGGUUUCUGUGGCUGGUUGAAGAUGGAGGCUCUGCUUAUACUAACAGAUGAUUCCUUUAGAAAGAAGCUUUAAUGUCUACAGACUCAUAAUCUUGCAGCGAAAUUAACCGACUCCAAUCUGACCACCUUGCCCAACUUCCAGGCGCCGUACAUGACUUCACAAACAUCAGAACACGCUAUGGCACACACUUACAGAUGAUCGCUGGGAAUCGCUUGGUCAGUGAUGCUUGUGAAAAUCAUCGGCAAGCACUCACGUGAACAUUGGGGCUUUCCUGGUGGCUCAGUGGUGAAGCACCCCCUCCAGUGCAGGAGGCGUGGGCUCCAUCCCUGUCCGCCCAAGCGCUGCAGCUGCUGAGCCUGUGACCUAGCGCCCAGGACCUGCAACUACUGAGGCCCGAGUGCCGCAGAGCCUGUUCUCUGCAGCAAGAGAAGCGGCUGCAUUGGGAAGCCCGCGCACCGCAGCUAGAGACACGCUGAGCAGCAACGAAGACCCACAUGCAAAUAAAAAAUAAAAUUAUAUUUAAAAAAAUAGAGCGAACUUUUAAAUGAAACGAUUCCGAG
Molecule: long non-coding RNA, 1177 nt
Filed under: Capra hircus (goat)
Lineage: Eukaryota; Metazoa; Chordata; Mammalia; Artiodactyla; Bovidae
Description: lncRNA (ENSCHIG00000004016.1)
Source: RNAcentral